UAGCCUCAAGGUAAAACCCAAUGUGCAAACUAAUUUAACACCUUAUCUUGGAAACAUAGUGAAUGGAUAAUAAGAAUACGGGUUGCACCUCAGUUUGUUUGUUUAAUGUCCUUUGACAAGAAAUAUAAGGAGUUAAGGGCUUUGCUCAAGAGCACAAAAAAGAUCUACAGGCACUAGAUUAUCUGUUUAAGGACAACAUAGGAUGGAAAUGGUGUGGCCGCUCUUCAUGAUGUAUAUAAAUUAAAGGAUAUUUAAUAUCUUCUUUUGCUCUUGUCGAGCAUCAGACAUUUCAAACGGACAAGCAACGAACAAACACUGACCCUGAUGUUAACCACUGCACUGCAUAACUGGAACUGGUUGAGAUGGUUUUGGGACCUCCUUGGCCUCAUUGUUUUUUUGUUGAACAUUAUUCUAGGAGAGAUUGUGGGAAUAUUGGAUACUUAGAAAAGCACCUAAAAUAUGUGAUCGUAGUCUCUUUUCUAAUGUUUCAGAUUAGACUUUUUCAACUCAUUUAACUUACCUCCAACACUCGAACUUGCAAUGACUGCCUCGUGGGUUGCACCUCCUACCAAUCUUCACUUGGAUCCUUUUUUGCCACCUUCCCAUAAAUAGUACCUAUACGGUAAUACUCAUCUACCUCUUGUUACCUUCAACUCUCCUCCAAGGAUAAUUAAUUUCAGUGCUGCUCAAGCUCUUUGGUAACGCCAGCCACCUCCUGAGGUAUAGCUGCUGACCCUCCUGCUCUCUGAGAUCUCAAAAGUUUGGAUGUUAAGAAUGUUAGCAUUCAAACAAACUGCCCAACGUCAUAAACUAUUUAUCAGCUAAACAUCAACAUGUUAGAAUGGUUAUUGUUAGCAUGCAGCGAAAUCCUGCUAUUAUGAACAGAUGGCCAAUGUAUUUAUUGUGGUAUUGUCGUAUUUAAGGGUCUACCCUCUUGGCCUGCCAUUAUUUCCAUAUGACAGUGACAAAAAUAAGCAACAUACUGCGAAUCUCAUUUAAGGUGCCUAGAGGAAGCCAGUUCUUAAAGAAAAUCUCACUCGGAACACAGCAUCUCAAAGCAGCUGGUUAUUUGCAAUAUCCAGCUGUAGGCUCAGUGUUGCCUCUUUUCUGUGGUGUCAAACCAGACUGACCUCAGGCCAGCAGGCUAUCACAAUAGAGAGGGAGCUCAAUCUGUUCCAGGUGUUCAACAGAAGAGGUACACUACAAGGUGUUUCACUAAACCCCCCAAAGAGAAAAAACGUUCUCAUUUUAGCCAGAAAAUUGUAAUCCUAUAUGGGGAUAUGUGAAAGCUGGCAGUUCCAUUCACAGCGCUUCACUUUUUCCACAUUUUGUUAAGUUACAGCCUUAUUCCAUAAUGGAUUAAAUUCAUUUUAUCCCUCAAAACUCCACACACAACACACCAUAAGAACAAAGUGAAAUAUUUUUGAAAAUUUCUUCCUUCCCAUCCUGCUUCCACUGAUCAUCUUUGUUCAGCUGAUUGGACAUGAAUUAGAAAAGCACCUGUCUGUAGCAGGUUCCACAGUUGACCGUGCAUGUCAGAGCACAAACCAAGCCAUGAAGUCCAGGGAAUUGUCUGUAGGCCUGAGACAUACUUGUAUAGAAGCACAGAUCUGCCGAUGGGUAAAGAGGAAUUUCUGCAGCAUUGAAGUUCCCAAUGAGCACAGUGGUCUCCAUCAUCCGAAAAUUGAAGAAGUUUGGAAACACCAGAACCCGCCCAGCCAAACUAAGCGAUUGAGAGAGAAGGGCUUUUGUCAGGGAACGCUGAUGCUCUGUCAGAGUGACCCGAUGACUUUGCUCUGGGAUAACUCUGUGAAUGUCCUUGAGUAGCCCGCCCAUAGCCCCGACUUGAACCUGCUUCUGGAGAGAUAUGAAAAUGCCUGUGCACCUACACUCCCCAUCCAACCUGAUGGAACCUCAGAGGUUCUGCAAAGAAGGAUUGCUUCCAAUUACAGCCUCAGAUAUUAAAGUGCUUCAACCAAGGAUUCAGGUGCAUCCCAAAAGCAUUUUCCAUUUAACAUGUCAAAGUGUUAACAAAUCUUACUGAAUCUACGUGUAGGUUUCACCUAUGGUUUUUAGUGUGGUGAUUCAAUGAUCACUUGUUGAAUGUAUUUCAAUCAUGCGAUUUUAAACAGAGCUUAACACUGCUGCAGUAGGCUUGCUUUUAACCAUAGAAAAAUGAAAACUAUGAAACAAACAAACCUCUGGACAAUAAAACAGGACCCAAAGUUAAUAACACAUACACAGUUGAUUAAAAAGUGAAUUUAUAACAGGCUAAACAGAGCACGAAGGGUAGAAAAGAGGAUUUUCUUCUUUGUUUACUUUUAAUUGAAUCCCGGUUUUAACCCAUUUUCUCAGGACAAACACACACUUAAAUGGGCAACUAGGAACCAAUUCUGACUAUGAACAUUGACAAGUAAUUGCACAAAUGCAUAUACAUUAUAUACAGUCAAAAUAUAACAACUAGGGAUUUUAAUAUUUGUGUGCAUGUGUGUUUUGGUCUGUGUCAAGCACAUUCUUUUGUAAUAAUACCCUCUUCGGACAAAAUGUCUCUUGUCCAAAGGGGGUAUUAAAUGACUCGAAGUAGUCCAAAUAUAUAACAGAUCUCUCUGUAAAAUGCUAUACGUGUGUAUUCGUGCCUAUGGGAAGGGAAGCCAUCCACUAGUGUGAUGCAAAUGUUGGGAUUUGGUUCUUUUAAAAUGAGCAGUUGGUGUUGCUGAUUUUCCGAUUAGAUGCCCUUAAAUCACUAUUGACGAAGUAGACAAAACCAAAUGAGAUGUUUAAAACCGCUCCAGUCGACCCUCAACCUGUGGAAAACUGUUUCGCUGUGGAUGAGUAAAAAAAAAAAACAAUCACCACAUUUGUUGUUGUGGAAAGAUAUGGUUACGUUUGUCUGUUCCAGUCUGCAUGCGUGUUUCUGCGUACUUGCACGCUGACAUAGUGUGAUGCUUCAGUUAGCCAGGGGUGAACACUGCUGAUAGCGGCGUGUUGGUCUCAAGAACAGGAAGUGAGCAGGGUCCAUCUCAGCAGCGAUUGGGUGAGUCACGGACACCCCACGCUGUAGCAGUCAAAGGGUUGAGGCUAAUCAAUACACACGCUCAAACACACACCACAGGCUUAGUAGGCAGGUGUAAUCAGUCUGUGUUUGUGGCAGCUGGCGAUGACAAAUUGAUUCUCUCUUUUUCUCACUCUUUGUUCAUACAUGUUUUUUUACCUUUCCCACCCGCCAUAAGUGUCUGACUGGCUGACUUGGUCUUUGACAAUUUCUCUCCGUUCAUCUGUCUUUCUCUCUCCCACUGCUUAUAUAUAUAUAUAUAUUUUUUUUUUUUUCCCAAUGUCUGCUGUCACUUCCUUCUCCCUCUGCCAGCGCUCACUUUGUGCUUUUCAUCACACACGGUUCCCCAGAGGUUUUCCAUGCUGCCGUCAGUGUCUCACACUCCUGUUUUGUGUUAGUCUGUUUUUCCACAAUGCACCUGUUAGGUUCCUUAUCGGGUUGUUGACAUCCAGACUUUUUGGGGGUGUAGGAAUGAGGUUAAAUUAUAUAUUUUGCUCUGGUCAUAGUUUUUAAUAUCAGCUACAUAAUUAACAAUUAUACAUACACCUAUAUAUAUAUACAUAUAUAUAUAUACAUACAUAUACAUGUAUAUAUAUAUAUACAUACAUAUACAUGUAUAUAUAUGUGUGUGUGUUUCCACUGAUCAUCCUUCAGAUGUUUCUACAACUUGAUUGGAGUCCACCUGUGCUAAAUUCAGUUGACUGGACAUAGAUAUCGGUGCGACAACAGAAACCUUGACCAUCUUGUUGAGUCUCUACAGCCAGGGUACUGGGAACAUCUUGUCCACGUAAGACACGUCAGUUCUUUGACCGUGUCCUUGCUCUCCCAACAUGCUAAAACAAAGGUGGUCAUAGACAUAACGAACACUUUGUUCAAUCUCUACAGCUAUGACGCUGGAAACAUCUAAUCCAAGUGGGAGACAUCAGUUCUUAUGUCAGGGCCUUUGUGAUCUAACCACUUGCAACUAAUAAACUGGUUAUACAAAUGAAGCAUUUAAAAGGGUUACAUAUAAUUUUCCCAUUACAUGUUCUUCAGAGAGCAAGUUUGAAAAAACAGUUUUCACUUUGUUGUUGUGGGUGUGUAGAAUGUUGAGGAAAAUAAUGAAUUUGAUCGAUUUUGGAAUAAGGCUGUAACAUAACAAAAUGUGGAAAAGCGCAGUGAAUACUUUCCAGAUGCACUGUAGGUGGGUAUCGCAGGGUGUCAUGACAGCGUCCUUCCACGUGGUACACAGCUACUGCAGACUCAUUCUUGUUGGACCCUUUACCCAGACUCUGCCCUGCAGGUCUUUGUAGUGUUGCUUUUUGGCCCAGAAAUAUCUGCAGCAAGCAUUCCAGCCAUCUCUCCGAUACGAUUGGCUCCAAAUAAACACUUGGCAGACGUCAGGACACAAUAAGAGAACAUUGUUUUGGCCCGAGUCAUUGUGUCUUGUGUGCAUGGAAAGAAUAAUGACAUCCUGGCAACCACAUUUUAUCAAAUAAAUGCCUAGAUUGGUAUACUAACCUUGACCCGCUUGUGCGUCAUCAUUACCUAUCAGGUUACUCUCAGUUACUCUCUGUUGAUGUGUGUGUGUGUGUGUGUGUAUACUGUGAGUCUGUGUGUGUGUGCACUGUCCCUGGAGCUAAAAGUCAGCAGAAGAGACAUAUUUCAUUAAAGCAGAAUUCUCAUUUUAAGCUUAAUUGUUGAAAGGCUACUCGUUCGAUCUUUCUUUACUCAAGACCUAAAUACGAGCAUGAGUUAUUGCUGUACUUUAUUGUGAUUGUUAUAGUUUUCCUCAACUCUACUGACCGACACAAGCGAAGUCAAGUAAAUAAUAACUGGAAGUUUGUUUCUUUCCCUCAGUCUUUUCUGUGUGUCAUGGUUAUUAUUCACACUGUAGUUUAACGGAACAAUUCUUUCACAUUUUGCAUAAUUAUGAAAUCCUCUAUGAGUAAGCGAUGAAAUAACUGCUAUUUCAUGACUUAUUGUUAUUCUCAGGCUCUCGUGUUUAUGUGAACGGAUGACACAGUGACAACGUAAUCUUCAUCACAUCUUUUGCAUGUGUGUCUCACACACACAAGGAGUCUUUGUUAAGGCAAGUAGACAUCUGCUCCCGGGACAGUGGUACAAUUUUGCCAGAUUUAGUAGCACAUCGAGACGUCCCACUCACUUUCAUGACAACUGAUGGAUGUCAGAUAGAAUCUUUUCCCUAUUUGAAUGUUAUCUUUGCACAUUGUCAUUGAGUUAAACAAAGCGUAAUUCGCAUAGGAAAAAAGGAUGACCUCAUAGCAAAUAUUUCUGAUAUAAAGUUUGAUUUUUAAAUCAAUACUGUUGACUAUUUGUUUCAACUAAAGAAGAGUUGAGUAAUCAUUGUGACCAAAAAUAAGCAUUUUAAAGGUGAUGAAAACGGAUGUCAUCUAAAUAUUAAGAAGUUGUAACAUGAUUUUACAACUCCGGCCCUGUCCAAAUUGAUCCCGGGUUUAUUUGACAUGUUGAUGCUUAAAAAAACAUGUUUGUCGGUGUUUGCUAACACUAGAAAGCUCCUUGACUGCCUUUGGUUAUCCAAGAGGAAGCAAACACACACUCAGACAGUGUGAAUCUGGGUUAAGAGUCUUUGGGUUUGCCUUGUGUUGUGGGGGGGGGGUCCUUUUUCAUAAAGCCUGUCUUCACUGCACUCGCUGGUGGUCCAUUUAUUCAGUGUCCGUACUGUUUCAUGUCUCUCAUCACCGUUUUCCUAACGUUGCCUCCCGUCCUCUGUCGCUCAGCCACGUCCCGCUCUCUCUCUGUGUCGCUUUCUUGAGUGACAUGUCCAAUGAUGUUUGCCUCUCAGUACCCCGACCUUCAAAUCUCUGGAAAGCACACACAAAAAUAAACACUCCUACACGGCGCACAGCGAGACUGCUAAUGGCUUCUACCAUUGGAGCGUCUGUUGACAGGGGGAUUACAGCUAGGGAGCACCAAAAAGAGGAAACUCAGAGACAAAGGGGGCUAGCUGUAAGCUAGCGAAAGGCCAAGUGUGGCUACAUAAUGGCGAAGGUGUUGCUAGCAGGCCGUGUUUGUGUACCUUGCAUAGUAAAAGUCUGCCUGCAGAAAAAUCUACAUUAUGUGUGGAGGAAAGGGUGUAUUGGUUUGUACAUAUUAAAACAAAGAAAAGACUGAAAGCAAAGCAGAUCUUAGCAUAGCAGUGGAUAUCACCACAUUCACACAACUGGGAAACAGAAUUCCUGCUGUCUGAAAGACGGCGUCAUGGUCUUCUGUUGAAAACUGGUGAUUGUGGUGGAAGAUUUUGCACAGACAAUCGUUAAGUAAGAAACAAAGGCUCUGAGUCAAGUAUGUCUUUUCUCCGUUUAUUUCCUUGCAAGGGAAAGAGGGUCACAACAGCUACGUGGUCAGUAGACUGUCAAGAACCUCCUUUCUGCCCCAACACAUCGAGGCAGUUCUUAUACCUAAGUUUAGAUAUCGGUGCGACAACAGAAACCUUGACCAUCUUGUUGAGUCUCUACAGCCAGGGUACUGGGAACAUCUUAUCCACGUAAGACACGUCAGUUCUUUGACCGUGUCCUUGCUCUCCCAACAUGCUAAAACAAAGGUGGUCAUAGACAUAACGAACACUUGUUCAACAUAUUAGUAUAUUAUUGUGAGGGACAAAGGUGCUUAGUGACAACACUUUAAGGCACUGCAGACAUUAGUGUGUUUUUGCUUCAAACUUAAAUAUUAAAAACAAACUUUUUUCUAUCACCUAGUCUUUUGUGAAUGACUUCUCUUGAUCCCGCUCUCCCCCUCCAUGCUUUAUCCCUCCCUACCAUCCCACUCUCUGUCCCCAUCCCCUCUCCCAUUUUUUCUUGGUACUCUCCCUCUAAUGACAGUAUUAUCCUCACUCAGACAUCAGAGUCUCUCUCCCUCAGAGCUGCAUAAAAGAGAAAGGGGGGGAAGCAUGCAGGAGAAGGCGAAUUAGGCCAACGAGAGGUGUUGAUCUGAGCUCUUCAGGGACUGCAAAGGGGCUAAAGGAGCAAUUCCUCUGACUGCUGUGAUGUUUAACUCUCCUCAGAUUAGUCGUGAUACCUUUAAUCACAGCUGAACCGAAAAUGGAAGUCUAUACUGAUGGUGAAAUUGAAAAACGACUGUCUCCAAAAAAAAUACAUAAACAUGCAAUGUGUCUUAUUUGUCGUUCAUGAAGUCGGAUGUGAUGUAGAAGUUGACACAUGGGUAUAUACUUUUUUCAUUUCGUUUCAUUCAAUUUCAUACACUAUUUUAAUAUUUUUCUUUUUUGAUAUUUUUUACAUUUGAUAAUGCAUUAUUUGGAUGUUAGCGAUAAAGCUGCUGGGCAAAGACCAGCUAAACAUAACUGAUCAUUCUCUUGGCUUGAAUGAAGGAGUGUGAGGGCGAGAAAAAGAGCGAGAAAAUCAGACCGCAAACUCAAUAAGAAAAACAAUUCAGUGAGCCCUGCUGUUAUACAAAUUUGAAUAAGCUCCUUUCAAGCAAGACUUCCCCAUGAUAAGAGGUGAGGGGAGGGACAGAAAUAGAAAAAACAAACGACAAAAAAUCCCAUCAUUUAUACCAGCAUGUAUAAAAUAAAACUCACUCAGCCACUGUGAGAAGAAAAAAGUUUUGUCUGCAUUUCAAAGCCGUAACUUCAAAAACCGAAGCAUAAGAGCAAUGGGAAGAAAACAAGAGAAGUAAUAAAAAAGAGAGCAGGGAUAAUCCUCGAUAGCAUGUGGUCAACCACACACAGCACUCAUUAAAAGAAGGCUUUCUGUGGGUUUUACACUGGAAAAAAACCAAAAAGGUGAAUCCAAAUGGACUAGUAUGGCAACGUCUGGAUUCAUGAAAUGCAUACUGCAGUGACACUGUUGUAAAAGCAGGAUGACUUUGUCUUUAAACAUCUGAACCUCACCAGUCCUGGAAGGAGUGUUCAGAUACAGAACACAUAGUACUAUUCCAUAAAUAAUCUCUAAAUGCAUGUGUUCGUGUGAGCGAAUAUAAAUGACAUGUGAAAAAUCAUGACAUGAAAAGAUUUGUUUUUUACAAAUAGCAAAGCAUUUAUUUGCAAGGCAAUUUAACAAAUUGGCAAAGGUGUAACAACUUCAUGAGGACCAGGGAUCUAAAUGCAACACUUUGUUGUCUUUGUCCGUUUACUUGCAAUGCUUUUGAAACUUCAUGGUCCUUUAUUGUUUCCACUGUGUUAAACGGGUCUUCAUGUUUCUGUGAAGCAGCGCGGCUUCAGCCUGCUAACAGUCAGCUAAACCGAGACAGCUGAGCUAAACUAAUGAAGCGCACAUUCAAACUCGCCGAAGCGUAAAAUAGUCGUCGCGGUCCGCAGUCGGUGCACAAGAACCAGCGCUGCGCCGAUGCGAGCGUUCUGGGUUCGUGGAUGACGUCACCAUGACACGUUAAUAACCGCCGUACUUUGCCUGUCUGUUGCCUGUCAGCUGCGUGCGAAUUUAGGGGGGAAAACAAUUGUGACUUCGUCAACCACCAACAUUUCACAAGUUAGAAUGGAUUUAGGUCAUAGUUUUUAUUUUUUAAGAUAGUUUUCGUCUCGUCUUAGUCAUGGAAAAAAAGGUCGUUAACGAAAAAAAUUUCAUAGUUUUCGUCAACGAAAUUAACACUGCCCGGAUAUGAUUUACACUUCCAAAUAAAGUAGAAAAAUGAAUAUACUUUAAAGACGACACAUCUAGGUUACCUGUUGCCUCACAUGCAGCUACACACGACUGGCGGAGUCGCAGAUGGCAGAGAAACCACAUGACUCAAAAUCAGCUCCCAUUUAUUAUUUAUUUAGGAUCUCUAGACCUUGAGCCCGAUGGUAUCACAUGUUUAAGACCUGAGAGUCAAUAGAUACAAAUUCGAAUUGUAAGUAUGUUUCUCUAAGACAGACGACCUCUGCAAAUAACUAAGUGUGCUCAAGUUCUACUCGUACUGUAGGGAAGGGCUCACGUUUGCAAUACAACGCAAGGUUUACAUCUUUGCAACUGCAAUCUCAAUUCAUUUUUGAAAGUGGAAAAUAUGGCUUGAAUCCAUGUUAUCUGAGAUAGAAGACUCCUUCAUUUGAAUACUUUACACCGUAAACAUUGCUGUUUAACUGAAGCAAAGUAAGCUUGCCCAAAUUGGACUAGACUUUGCUUCAUAUCACCUAGACACUGCGCUAAACCCCAAACAAAUGUGCCUUUUAAAGUUAAGUUUGUCCCCACGCAAGCCUGGAAGAGGCAAGGAAUAUGCCGCCAACAGCGUUGUGUUAGAUGAGUAUUUCUGUUUCGAUGCUUCGUUAAAUGAGAACACACCGCAGUAUGAGGUUUUGCUGCAACCCAUCACCUGCAGCACAGAGGAGGAGAGAAGUGGUAGAAUAAUCCUCCCGAGGGGGCACAUAGCUGAGCGGCAACAACAGAUGUGAAAAACAAAACAAAAAAAUACACACACACAUAAAUAAUGAUUAGGUGUGCAAGUGAAAAAUGCCCCACAGUUUCCUUGAGCUCACGUUGACAUUUUCCGCUAUCGUUUAGGAACCAUCCCAUUAUUUUUCUCUACUUACCUUUACAGGCUUUUGACGGUCCUACCUUUUACUCUUUAGUUUUAGACUAAACUUUCACCACAUAUCUUGUGAAAAAUGUUCCUCAUUAGCUGCUGAACUGAAAGUGCUGACUGUGCAUCCAAUCCAUCCCUAAAUACACGGAGCUUCUCAUAUAUAUGAACGGAAGCAGAGUAGUUCAAAAAUAGUGUGAGUUUUUGAUGAAUAGCACCGGAAAUGCACCGAGACGGUUAGCAUUGACUACAGUUUGAUGGAAAACGACGACUCGCUCAACGCAGGUGAGUGCAUUUGAUUGCUGUUAAGUGCUUCAAAACAGUCAUUGAAUGCACGCUGAAGCUAUCCUCGCAUAUGUCAACAGCCCCAUAUCUUUACAGUGCGGAGGAUUGCUGGACUGCAGUAGAGGGAGAACGCCGUCUGAGAAUCAUCUUUAAUAAGGGCAUGCUUUUCCCGGUGAAAUUAAUUCUUUGAUAUCAAGAGAUGAUUUAAAAUGGUUUCCAGCUACUUCAAACAAUGUUGCGCUAAGAACAACAGAAUACAUGAAGGGAGCCUUAGAUAUGCAUAACCACAUGUGAUUUAGUCGAUGACAGAGUCUGUGUGUGUAACAGUGAGAGGAGUGGUGAAGACCGAAGGUCCCACUCCGCUCCGUGGUAAAGAAAUAGAAAAGGUUCUUUUAACAAGGCUGAUGUCACGGUGAGGGACUCAACGGGAAUCCUAUGGAGGAACACUCUAAUCCAUUCUCUUCCUGUUCACCUGUCCCACACAUCCCUCCUCCUUUUUGAGUCCCCUAACCCUUCUCUCCUAACUGAUCACCUCAACAGGGCCCCAGACUAACUUUUAUUUAGCCCCAGACUAAUUUUUAUUUAACAAUGGCCACACUAGUGCGCUUAACCCUUCAUUUAGGUGUGCCCAACAAUUUGUCUUAUCUAUUAUAUUAAAAAUAUUGAAAAAUCACAGACACAGAUGUUACAGCUGGUAUGAGACUCACCCUAAAAAUGCUGUAUCUGUCACGGUGUGGUUCACUUCAUGUUGUAGUUUUCUGCCACUUGUGUCCCCGGGUAACUUCACUUCCUGCCUUGUCCUGUCAUCCCCGUGAUCGUCUAAUAGUUUCCACCUGUGUCCAAUCACCUGCACCUCCCUUGUGUAUUUAAGCCGUGUGUCUCUUGUGUCACUGGUCUAUUGUCGUGGAUGUUCAUAGUUUCCUGCCUGCUGGGUUUCCCCUGGUUCCUGUGUGGUUUUGCCCCUUAGCCUUUUGAUUUUGCCUUUUGACUAAUAAAGCCUUUUGUUUUCCGAGAAGUCUGCGUCUGAGUCCUGCCUCCCCCACGCAUCCUUGACAGUAUCAGCUAGAAUGUGAGUCCAUCAAUGAUCUGAUAUUGUGACAUUAUUCAUCAGCUCAGUUAAGCUACAGAGAAACAAGAACACAAUGUGUGCAUAAACCAAUCAGUACUGAGUGUACAAUGUAAACUAUACUACACAACUGUAGUUAAAAUCCUUUUAUUUUUUAUUUUUUUUAAUACCGUUUUACUUAGUACUGACAGACAUGUGCCUUGAUCUAUCCGCAUCCUUAUUAUGACUGUUAUCCUGGGUUGGAUCAUUAUGGUAGCAGACCUUUGUGAAAUGAUCAUUAACUGCAAAGCAACAAUAUAAGUGCCACACAGUGAAAUGGGUGCUUUGGUGAUUGAGGCUGCAGUGAUAACUGAUUGAGAAAGAGGUUCAAUUCAUCACUUAAAGAGAGCUGCAGUUAAUGCACAUGACAGGCAACUGAGUCCCCAGUUUGAAAGGUACAUGCAUUUUACGAGUGAAUAUUGACAUGCUGUCAGAGACGUGCAAUACAGAGGGGAACAAAGAGCCUUGUAGUCUUUCAAGUAUAUUGUCGCUGACCAAGCUCGGUCAUUUGACACAUUGGUGUGAAAAGCUGUCAAAAGUGAUACAGGGCUAGUACAUGAAUGGAUUUGAUCUCAGGCAGUGAAAGUGAAUUUUUUUUGCCCACUCCUAUCCAAACACACGUCACUUUUUAUCGGUCACCAUAUUAAUCUGAUAGCUACUCAAAUCCACAAACCGUAAGUGGGAUUUAAUACAACCGGCAUGGCCAGCUACUACCCCAAAGUCAGUAAGCCACUUAAGGAUGACCAGCUAUUCUUGUGUGGCAAGCUGCUCCAUCUGCUUUUAGUGUGAUUUCUUUAACUUUUUAACAUGAAAUAUUCAUUUUUAACAUCUCUAGGGAUGACAAAACAAGGCAUUGUCGAGAAAAUAAGCUGCAGGUUACUGGUGAUGGCGAACAUCGACAUUUAUUGCAGAGUUUGUAAUAAAAACAAUGUAAUUAUAAUUACAUUGUUUUUAUUACAAACUCCGCUAAUUAGCGCAUUGGAUGAAAUAAAAUCAUAUCUGUAGAAGUCUUAACGCUUUGGAUUAGGGCUGGUAUGCUAUGAGAACUCCUGAGACUACAUCAGCGGCUAGAAGCUCCUUCUCUUUUUGAGCCAGGAAAACUAUCUCCAGUUUAAUUGGCCCGGCCUGCAGUGUGUGAGGUCACACUCUACAUGCUGAGACCAAUGUAGAGCGGCUCUGAUGUCAAUUUUAAUAUGUCUAUUGAGGGGCUACAUGGUCCCUUUAUGUGCUGAAAGGCGACCACCAGGCUCAUGAAAACUUGUAGAUUAACUGACGUUAAUGAUUAUCACCCUAUCAACCAGGCUGCAUUUCUUCAAAGGUUAAUGCUUCUGGGAUUGGCAAAAGUGUUUUCAACAAUGUGCGGACAUCACAAACGUGACGGAUGAGAGAACAGAGACAGUAGAGCGAGACAUGAUUUUGCUUUCACCUUCCUCUGCCUCUUCUGAUAGCGUUAACUAUGUGUUGGCUUUAACCUGCCAUCUUCUGCGAAGUUUGUGUAGGCGACUCUCACGCUUCGUACAGUUGUUUAAUAGUUGGCCACUGUCGGCUCCAUUCAGCGGCGGCAGAAGAGAGCAACAAAAAACCUGUUGGUAUGCAGACACCCCGCACCACGGGAACAGACGGAGGAGAGAUUUAAGAUUAUGCACCAGAUGACUGAUAUCUGCUCAUUUGUGUUCACAUCGCUUUGUAGAGCACACACGCUGAAUUCUCAGUUUGACGUGGUCAAUACAUAUUCAGAUUUUGAGAACACAUUCGAUUACAUGUUGGAUUUAUGAAAUCCACAUUGGAUUCAGACGUUUUCUUUUUGUCAUGCAGGUCAAUAGUCUGCUAUGGGGAUUUUUAUAGCUCUGUUAGAUGUACAAGAAAGUCACACUGUACAUGAGAAUGUGUUUUGUGUGUGUGAAGUGUGUGAUCCCUGCUAUCGCCUCUCCUGAAAGAACCGUGCCUCUUCCUCAACUCCAGCAGGAAUAGCUUCGAAACGUCCAUCACCUGAAAAGACUACUGAAUAUGGAGAUUUGUAGAACAUUUAUUUGUUAUUUACUGGAUUCCCAUCAGCUGGCCGCUAAUAUUUCUGGGAUCCACAGAGAGACAAAAAAGUAGUUAACACCAAACAUUUAGACCAUGACGUAAAACGUACUGUAGUUAAAUAUAGUACAAAGAGCAUGAAAAGAAUAAUAACCAAUAAUCUAGUCGUAUACCUUGUGCGGUUGAGGACUAGGAUGUAUAUAGUCCAGUACUCCUGCAAUUUGCGAAGAAUCGAAUGUGUACAAAAGCAAUGGCAAACGUCAAGUGGUUAAUGUCCUGAGGUGCUGAAAAUAACUAUACAGUUGAGGAGGUUUGUUAUAGGGGUUGGAAGUAUCAUGCAUCCUAGGCUAGCAUUCAUUGUGUAUGCUUAUUACCUGUAUAUUGUAACUGAUUAAAAAUGACCUUUCUGAAAAACACGAGAAGAGAGAUUGAUUUCUAGUGAGAACCAUGACAGGAAAAUAUGCUGUAUUUGUUCUUAUUGAACACUGAAGUGCUAAUCUGGCAACACGGUUUUCAACCAGUUGUACAGUAGUUUUGUCAGGGUUUUUUGGACUGAAUUACCCUGAAGGACCAUGUGGGGUCCUCAGUGAUCCAGUUUUAUGUAUGGCACCUGUCAUGAGUCUGUGUGGUCUUGAUUGUUCUCAUUGCGUUCACCUGUGCCUCGUUCUCUAGCCUUUAAAAAGCCAACUGUGUUUCUUUGUGUUUGCCGAGUCUUGGAACUUACCACCUGGAGCUGAGCUGCGUGAGACACUUGAUAACUUUUCUGUUAGUACCUUUUGUUUUUUAAGAUCUUCUGUUGCCUGUUCUUUGGGACACCCUUAGUUUUCUGUUAAAUGCUCUGACUUUGUUUUUAGUUGUCUUGGAAUAUUUUGAGUUUUGUCAACGAUAUGGAACCUCCUACUUUUUGCAAGUAAAGAAACCUUUUUUUUUUUUUUUGACUCAACAUACGACUUGUCCGUGUCUGUCUCUGCACCUGAGUCACCACCACUUGCAGCACAGUGGUAGGCAAUCGGCCUGCUACACCGAGACCCAGGUUCGGAUCUCGACGACCAUGAUAAGUUUGUCUAUGUCCUUCUUAACAGCUGUGACCAUAUGAAAGGACAGAACAGCAGGUGACAAAAGACCAAAGACUGCAACACCUCAGAAACAAUACAAAUUAUAAAAUGUCGGGCAACGUGACACGGGUACAGCGGGUGUGCUGGAACCACAAGGUUGGUGGUUCGAGUCCCAGCUGCCACGUGUCAAAGUGUCCCUUACAAGACACCUAACCCCUACUACAAUUAACACUCCACCCGGUAAUUUGGUGCUCUUUACCUGUUCCAUUGGCAAACCUGACAUAGACAAGUGAAGAUAAACAGAACUUUUAGACUUAGAAAUGUUCAGGGCUAGUUUGUUCCCAAUCAGACACUCUUCCCAGAUCUUGAAUCAAAAAAAUUUCUGGCCCUAUAUAAGCAUUGCUGUACAGCGUUGUGUCAUCUGCAUACAUUACCAUUUUGACAUUCUUCUGUACAGAAAAAAUAUAUUUAAAUUAUAUAUUGCUUCAAACUAUUUUUAGGCUAUAUAGGAAGUGUCAAUUCCCUUGGUGAUCUCCUGCAAGUCACUAUAAAAAAGAAUCUUAGUAAUAUUACUGAAAGUAUUUUUUUAGAAACUAUGUUACUAAAUUAUGUCGGCCCUGGAGAGAAUUUAUUUGACUUAUUCCCUCAAACUGGAGACAAAAUAAAACUGUCAACGAUGUUAACUGCAAUGCUUCGAAACACCGAUAUCAUAAUUUACUAUGGGGAGAUGUUCACUCAUUAAGUUACUUUCUUUUAGUAAUAUAUUUGUAAGAUAAGAUGAGAUAUGUACUUAAGUGUAAACUCAAGUUCUACACACACACACACACACACACACACACACUGAUCAAAGUAAACUGUUUAAGCGGAUGCAAUUGGACAAAACGUCUGGAGGAGAACUAGCCAGAUGAAAACAGGGAGGGAGACAAUAGAAAGGAUAGCGGCUGAGAACGUUUUUUUGUAUUGCAUUUUAGAUCCGGUUGAGCAGAGCCACUUAACAACACCCACACACGUGCACACUCUCCCUCUGAGAAACAACCAAAUGGAAAGCAGCAGAGGGAAUUGAGGCCACGGGUUUGAAAGGAGACUGCUUGUUUUAUCUGCAUGCGAGGCUACAUGGAUAGCAAGUGUACUUGAAACUUUGUUGCAGGAGUUGCAAAGCAAAGUCCCUUCUCCUGUGUCAUCCCUACAAUCCACAUGUUUGUCCAAGUUCAAUGUUGAAGAAGUCUCUUAGCUGACCUCAACUCUGGGCAGAAUUGAAAUAAGCUCAGGGCAGGGCUGUAGUGGAGGGUAAACGCCGUUUACGCACCUCUGGAAUUUGGGAAAUAGCGUUUACGCACCUAUAAAUAGCGUUUACGCACCUCAAAGUUCCCUGCGCCUUGUAUUCUUCCGUUGGAAUAAUCCGAAAUAAACUUGGUGUAAUUUUAAAACAGCUAAGACUACGUUUACUAUUGUUGAACAUAUAAACGCCGUAGUCUGAAUCAUGUUCAUCUGCGCUGUAUUACGGUCUGUGAGCAUCCAAUCAGUGCCUUGCGGCUGCAGCAGCGACUCCAAUCAGGAUCCAGGAGGUGUGUAAACACACGGAUCAGCCCAGUGGUCCCCAACCUUUCUUACCUCACGGACCGGUUUCAUGUCGGACAAUAUUUUGCCGACCGGUCGAGAAGGUCCGCCUGGGGGGUGGUGUAGUAGUCUUUGCGGGCGGAACGACCAACUGGGGGGGGUAGUAGUCGCGCGCUCUGUGUUUGCUGGUCGUGCACGGUAAAAGGACAAGAAAAACGCCAGUGACGCGCGCACAUAAUUAGGAGAAAAUCCAGUCAAUUUUCAAAGGCUCUGCCUCCCCUGUCAUCAUGAGCGGGGAGCAAAGCUGUUGCUUCACUGAAUAGGCCUAUAUGCUUAAUCAAUUAUUUUAAGUCAUGAAAGGUGUAGAGUAGCCUGUAAGCGUUAGAAAACAAGUCAGUUCUCAAUGUGAAAAAAACAUGCUGUAUAGGCUAUUUAUGAUGACAUAGGUUGUACAUGAGUGUUCCUUUAACUUAUGUUGUCAGUGUAAUUGACAGGCUGCUAAACUGGUUAACUCUUAAAUUCAACAUAUUUUUUCAGGCAGUGAGAGGACAGGCAAUGAUGCAGAGAGCACAGGGAGAGGAGAAACACCAGGUCCAAUAGAGAGAGGAGAAGCACAGAGGAGCCAUGAACCCAGAACACGCGUUCUGGGGUUCAUGGCUCCUCUGUGCAAGGCAGGACCUGACGUGGAGGACAAGGAGGCCCUGGGCACUACUGUAAAAAGGAGACUCCAUAUGUAGAUAGUUCUUAAUCUGCAAUUGUGUUGUUGUGUUGACAUACUUUUCUUUACUGUUUUCCUAAAUUUAAUAAACUACUAACACAUGUAUUCAUUGUCAUUGAUUGUGUAUGACUUUUACUGAUAACAUAAUGCAAUAUAGCCAGGACAGCCUUACAGAGUUGCGACGCCUUGUGUUGCGUUGCUUCGCAUCGCGUCGAGGUCUGUAUGAUCACGAAAUUCAGAGUUUACCCACCUCUAAUUUUACCACUGCAGCACUGUCUCAGGGUGAAUUGCCCAACAUCAGUACCCCACCAGGACGACGCCAAAUCCUACAAAAACCUUCCCAGAAGAGUUGUGGCUACUGCAGCGGCUUAUCAAAAGUGAUGGUUGUGGAAUUUGAUGUUUUAAUAAUCACAAGGUGUCCUCAUUCCUCUAUGCGCGGUGUCUGAGGCUGUAAGGCUGUACGUGUAUGCCAUUUUAUUAUCAGAGUAAGAGACUGUGUGACAGGAAGCCAGAUCAAAGUAAUGUGUUGGCAUGACUGUGGUUCACAAUGAACCACAGAUGGAAUCCAUUUCUCACCUGCCCUGUGGAGAUAAAGCCUUUUGUUUGAUAUUACUUUGUUUGUGGUGAAAUCACCAUUUAAUCUGCUUGGAGGUCCUACUUUUUACAUUAAAAACUCGUCCUCUCUACCUCAGAAAAAUCUUUCUAUCUCAAAAGGAAAUUGAUUGUCUGGUGGCCGUGUUUGGAGGGAUGGAAAGGUCUACACAGAUGAGAGAAUGCAAUUUAUGCUGAUUAUUCUUGUUUUUGAUGCUUUUGGUGAAGUUUGUUUUCAACCAUCAUGGCAAUGAAGCAGAUUGAAUAGAAAUAAAUUGAUGUGUAGAGGGCAGAGAUGUGAAGCGGGAGAGUGGACACAGAGGGAUUAUUUUUAUCUCCACAGUCUGAGGAAUGGAGGCCUUCAUUCAUGUUGUUUGCAUCCAUGGUCUGUCUCUGUGCCCCUCCCCUUUUUUUAUUUAUUUUUUCCUCUUGCACAGUUGUCUUGUCGUCCAUUGUCGUACUGUCUGCUGUUAUGCACCAACCGCCAAGUCAAAGUCCUUGUAUGUCUGACAUAUUAUGGCAAUAAAUGUUUCUGGAUUCCCGAUUCCCUAUCGCUCUCUUAAAUUAUUCCUGAUCAAAGACAACAGAUUAGCAUUACCAGCGCAGUCACAAACUAUUUAUACAAGGAAAUUAUUAUUAGAGAUUACAGCCUAUAUAAGUGAAUACAAAUACCAACCAUUUAUCCAAGGUUCUUGGGGGUUGGAGUAACCGCCAAGUCUGCCGUUGCUUAGCAACCAAAACCAUUGCGCGGCAAUCGCGAUGUAGUUCCGGUAAUUUGUGUGUGGACUGUGUCCUUGCACUGCAGCGGUGACAAAAGUAAAAUAAUGCGGUGGAACAUUUUAAAGCUUUGCAUUGACCUGCACUAAACUUUUCCUGUGUAUAUUUACCAUCGGCAGAUAUUUAAAUGUUAGAGAUAUCUGCCUCCUUUAAUUUGUAAACUGUCUGCAUCACAUUCCAAAACUGCACUUCAUCGUGCAGCUGUAAUGCCCUGAAAAAUAUGUGCAUUGGAAAGCUCACAGACAGCGAUAUCAUUUUGCCUUUUUUUCAGCCGUGCCUCCGCCUGUCCAUAAUGACGACAAUAGAUUUGAGAGCGUAAAAAAGCAACAAAUGUGACACAACCUUUGUCAUACAGCUUCUGUGAUGUACUUAUAUAAAGGCUAGAAUACCAAUUUUAAGAAAGCUACAGACUGUGAUUUGGGGCAAAAUGUUCUUGUAUUUAACUAUUCUAAAGAUGGAUAGAUGGAAUUAAAGGUGGAUGGAAGGAUUAUAUAUGAGAAUGGAAAAGAUGUUCCAAGAGCAGCUGGAUGAUGUAGGAUAUUUUGAACAAUGCAAGGCUGAAAUGAUGAUGAUCCAGUCAUCUAUACAAUGAUUGUAUAGAUGACUGGAUGCAGAGGCAGUUAACAAACGUUUGGAAGGAUUCCUAGCUGGCAUUCUGGACUUAUUGGUGAUGUGGGUGGAAAGAUAUAUGGAAUGCAUACAGCUCAAUGGGCGGUUGAAUAGUUCAAUGUGUGAUAUGACUAGACAAAGUCAUAUAACGGCAAUCAUUUUUAAAUUCCUUCACAUUCCACUCUGAUGCCUUUUACAAGGAAAGAGCAAAUUGUGUAAAAAAUGCAUUCAAGGAAGGAAAUACAAAAAUAUAGUAACAACCCUUAUACAAUCCACAGAACAAUGUGAAACUGUCAGUUUGAUAUUUUCCCACAAACGGUAGGUUAAUCUUUCUGGUGAGUUUAAGGUAGAAUUUUUUUUCCAUCAUUCUGAUGACUUGAAGAUAGAAGCUGUUCCUCAGCCUAGGAGGUCAUGCUUUUCACACUUCUGUACCUCCUGCUCAAGGGCAUAUGUGUGAAAAACCGGUGUCGGGGGGUUAGAGAGAGAUGGUAGCUUUGAUUUUGAUAUAUUCUGAGCAAGCGUAUAAAACUCUGCGAAGGGGUUUUCUUUCAAUGACGUACGCUACUUUUCAUACCACACAGUGAUAAAGUAUAUCAAGAUGCUCUCUUUUAUGCAAAAUCUGUGAUUUAGAAAAUACAUCUACUCUUGUGCGUUCACAGGAGUGGAGAUAUUUGUUAAAGUUAAGAUAUGUCAAUGGAUGGAAGAAGGAAUAGCUGCAUGAAUCUAUGGAUAGAUAUACUGAGAACUGGAUAAAUGCUUAAUGAUUAGGUGACUGGUUUUCUGGAUGGCUGAAUUGUUCAUGUAUUCAGGAAGGGCUUGAUGAAUGAUAAUAAUGACUGAAUGAAUUAUUGAUAGGUGCAUGGCUAGAUGUAUGAUAAUUACUGCAGCAUGGUUUGAUGGCUGGAUGAAUGAUAAUAUUAGCUGGAUAGAUGAGAGAUUGUUGUUGGUUAGAUGGAUCAUACAUACGGCUAAUGGAUAGUAUAUAUCUGGUCAGAUAGAGGGCUGGGAAAUAAAUAAAUGAUAGCUAGAUGGAUAAUUCCUUUGAAAAUCAACAAAUAAAAUAUAUAGAGCAAGACAUUCCAGUAUAGUGAACCAUCUGUUGUCAUGUCUGAAGUACUGAACCAUCAAGCAUCAUCUUAAAGUGGAGAUGAGAGGCCUCUGUACUUGGAAUUCUACCCAUAACCAUCUUCCCUUUCUCUAUUUGAGUGUAAUUAACCGAAAAUACAUUACACUGUAGAAAUUAAAUAUUAUACUUACACAGGCGCUGCUUUGUCCUGAUAUGAACAAGUUACCGAAUUAUACCACAGUCAAGUGGAUUUGGAUUGGUGCUGCUCACUGCAACUACAACUAAGAUAUGGAUUGAAUCCAUCCUGUUACUAAUACAAGGGCUGACAAGCACACAUUUUGGAGCCAUUUAAAUCCAGACAAUUCCCCAGAAUACUGUAAACCAGGGGUGCCCACAGUUUUACGGCAUGCAGGCUUCUUUUCAACUGACCAUGUCAUUGCGAUCUACCCACUCCUUUUCGAGGACCGGCCGGCAGGGGGGUUUGGUUCAGGGGUAAGAGAGUGGCUGCCUGGGCUGUAAGACGUACACAGGCAAUUGGUUUGUGCAUUACCGUAAAGACGCCAAAAGCGGCGAUGAUCGAAAAGUGCGCCGUCACGUUUAGAUCAAGUCUUUUUUUUUUGCUUUUGGUCCGGAUGGGAUGGCUUCUGGGUCCGGAUCAGGACAGCUGUCCGCCAAUUAGUGACCUCUGCCCUAGGAGGCAGAGGUCAUGACGAGAGCUAGUUAGUAUCGGCGAAAAAAGUACUACUUCGUGUAGUUAAACUGCCGUUGAGUUUAAGCAUCCUGGAGACUAGUAAAUAAGCAUAAACGUACUACUGCCUGUAGUUAAAAAUGCCAUUGUGUUGUCAUGGUCCAUGAGUUGUAGAAGGUUCCAAAAGUCCAGCAGAGUAACGCGUCAUGAACAUAAGAGAGGCCGGAAAUCUAGCUGUGGUGUGUUGUUCACACGUUACAAAGCAUCUGAGACUUGUUUUUUAUUGAGGUGCAUAACGUCUACAAUUUGCAAUUUUGAGCCUUAGUUUAAACUUAUUAAAGGAAUUUCUGUGACACAUAAGAAGUGGUCCACAGGGUCAUUGAGUGUUUUUGGCCAGUUAACACUAUACAGGGUUAUGGUGUACUGUCCUGCAUUGGGUGCAGAUCUCUAUUGCUUCAUCAGCAUGUAUCUGUAAAGAGAAGGGAUGUACUUACAAUGGAAUUGUCAGCUAGGGUCAGAGCACCAUAGCAGAUGAAAGGCGAAUAAGAACUACUCCUAAGUAAUUUAGUUUUGACUCGGCACUUAGUUUUAGUGUGGCAGAUAUUUAUUUAGGGAGGAUUCUAACCUCUUAUACUGUGAUAAGCUUGAUCAGUUAAGCUGAUAAAAUGUGAAUUCAUUUCCUUUGAUUAUCCGUCAUUUUUGUUAAAGAGGGACAUAAAAAGGUGCGUAUUUGGGAUAAGUGGACAGAAUUUGAGGCAUAUUCUUACACCAAGGCCUAAAAACAAAGCAGAUUAUUCCAGAAUUUGAGGGGGAAACUUGAAUAAUAGGAAUGAGUUUAAGCCCAGUAUAUCACAGCUAGAUGCAGUGAAGUACUGAUUGUCAUUUGACCCUCUAUGAUAGUAAAUACAUAGAUACAUUCAAGCACCUCACAAUUAUAUCUUAAUUGCCUUUAUUGGUUUGUCCACACGUUCAGAGACGUAUGGCGAUAGCUAACAUUAGCAUCAUUAGCAUCUCCUGCUUAGCGAGUGUAAACAGACACUUGAAUGGAAUUAUACUGCAUUUACUCAUCUUAUUAAAAUGUUUCAAUAAAACAAACAACUUAGUUAUGGUUUAGUUAAAUAAGUAUUUAAUAUUUCCCCAAACAGAAUAACCGAGAUCUCCAACCAGGUAUUUAAAGAAAAAGAGGAAGAAAAAGGAAGACUCGAAUACCUACUGAUGUAAGUAAAAGGUAAAAUAACUGAAGGACACAGCCGUUGGAAUAAGCAAUGAAGGAGUAUCUGCUGGUAUGAUGAGGUGUGAAAGUAACUUGAUAAAGACCUGCUCAUUCAACUUCAGUGGACGGUGGAUUUGUCAUUAUAUAUUUCCAUUCUUUGCGCUGCAACGAUCUCCUCUUCACGGAAGUUCAUCUUUAUUCUAUCUUCAUAUACAUGAAAGUUUAUAGCUUACUCUUGCCCACGAUCUUGCCUUUUCCCUCGACAGUCUAGAUACCUGUUAAACACACACAAAGUAAGACAUCAGCGGCGGUGAAGUAAACGUAGUGGCCGUCUCUCCUGCUUUGCAUUUGUUUGAGGCCGCUGCUGAUUACUGCUUGAAGGGUUUUGAUGUCAGCGUGGAUUCCAAUGAUUCAUCUCCAACUCCGCUGAAAAUAUGCUUCAAAAGACAGCUCAGGUGAUGUAACACAUUACACAGACACAAGUGCACCCAUGUGAACGCAUAUUGAAGAACACGUGUGCAGCCCACACAAGUCAAAACAGUGCCACAGUGAGCUUCCCUACAUUAAAAUUAUCGUGCUACCGUAGGGCUCUGUAAUAUCGCGGAUUAAGAGUGAUCACAAUUAUUUGUUUACCAUUCAUGUACAAAAUUACAAAAAAUGCAUUUCUUUUUUUAGCACAAAUCUUUUUCAGCAUCAAACACUUGACUGGUUACUGAUCUUUUACUUACCUAGAAAAAUAUGUCAGUUAAAUAUGUUGGAGGGAGGACUUUUAGGGUGCUUUAUUUCUUGUUCUGCAAUAAUGCCCCCCAGCAUUAGAGAAAGUGUAGUGGACUCUCGAUGCACCGAAGCCAUUCAAAAGUUUCCCAUAUGGAGACUGGAUCUCAAAAGAUAAAACACAGCAAUGAUUUUUUUCAAAGCUAACAUGCUAAACUUGACAGUCGUUGCCUCCUUCUGGAACAGCUUCCUUGUCCUUGUAGAUACCACAGUCCCCUGGUGGUCCUUUGUCCCCCUUUCUGUAUUGAGCCCAAGGAAGCGCUAAAAUGAAAUAAAAGAGAAGGGAUAUUAGGUGUUGUACGUAAAGAGUAUUUGCACUCAUACUGAACCCGUAUGAAAUAAAAUUAAAAGACAAUUGUUUUCAAUUGUUUUUACAAAUAACUAUAUUUUACUCUUGAGAAGUUCUAAUUUUUACAGUACAGAAUCUAAACAGUCAAUAUCCCACUUUUCAGCUACAGGUGAAGCCAAUUAAUGCAGACUCUCCCCCUGUGUACUUGGACUGAGCCUAUGAUGUCACUGCUGGCCUCAAACUGCAUAUAAAUACAGGAACCAAUUGGGUGCCUCCCAAACACCAGGGCCCUGUUCCUCGUACAAGGCUAACUGAGUUAGCCGGAUAAUUUUCAGGAUAAGAUGACGUAGAUCAGGCUAUUCGGUUCCCCGAAGCAGGUUUGGAUAAAUCACCAGAGCAACACCUCGAAAAACGAUAUCUGUUAGAUUAACGUUUUAUAGGGAGAGAGUUCUCCAAGAUCCAUUAUGACAUCGCGAUGACGUCCUGAACAAACGCUACCGAUGCUAAAGCCCCACACGGUGCAGCCGAGCAUCCACUGUCCUAUAGACCGUCUCACACUCCGUUUCUCAUACUGUACAUGUUUGUACAGUGUUGCGAUGCAGAGAACAUCUGGAAAGCCACUGCAUGUCGUGCUCUUCAAAAAGUUCUGUUGGUUUACUUGUCGCCUAAAAAACUGAAUGUUUCACUGCUUCAAUUGAUCAAAUUUCAGAUUUUUUUCAUACACAUGAUAAAACUCCUAGUUCUACACGGGCAUCUACACAUACAUAUGAUACAUAUAUCCUAUUCCGUCGUAUCAAUUAGUCUUUGAGAUCAUUAUUCUCAUUGGAUGAUGAUAGAGUCCAUGAAGCCUCCUGCAAGCAGGCACAUUUAAAGAGAUAUAAUCUGAUUGAUUAGUGAUGAGGCACUUAAAAUGACUUUUACCAACACUUGCACAUUCAUCUUCUCUGCGAUACGUUAUCGGGCUUGUAGCUCCCGCAUGGGGGUGGUAUCAGUCUUUGCCAUGAUAAUUUGAUUCAAUUCAUUUUAUCUUGUAUAGCACAAGUGCUUUACAGUACACAUGUGACAUCCUCUGUCCUGAAACUCUCACAUCGUCUGGCCCGCGUUCGAUCAAAGUGGGCAGUAUCUGGCCCAAACCUGAAAUGAGUUUGACGCCACUGGUUUAGAGAGACAGAGGAGGAUCCCUCCCCCCUGGGACAGACAGACUGCGAUGGACGUACAGAAUGAACAACGUGUACAACACGUUAAAAUGUAUCUGACAAAUGAUUCAAAUACAUAUUAUCUCCUCACAUGCGUUCAUGAUCAUCUCCUGCUCAUCAGCGGAGAAAAAAAAAGACACUUCCUUUAAGUUUGUUUGCCGUUGUACCGUUAAAAAAUCCUGGUCUCUGUGGUCGACUCUUCCGCCGCGGUUUUCCUGAUGAAGAACGUCUGGUUCAAUCUUUGAGGAUCAGCCUUUGAGGAACCAAAAGCCUGAGAUCAAUCAUUUUGUUAAUUUGAGCUGGACAUUUGAUCGACUUAGUUGAGCCACGUACGAGGAACAAGGCCCUGGUGUGCCUGGUAACCCUCAAAGACACCGACCAGUGUCGUAUGGGGACAAAAAGUGUGUUGUCCCCCACGUGGUCACAAAGCGUGAGGAGCGAUUGGCAGGUGUAUGACAACUAAGCUGAGGGCUUUGGCAUGAAAGAGAAUGCCUGCCUGCCCCUCCCCCUGUCUGAACAUACGCCUGAACCCUUCUGUCGUGUUCCGGUCAAAUCUGACAAGUUUACAACGUUAAUCAAAUCAUGGAUGUUUUACAUGUGAUAUCGUCAGCACGUGAAAUUGGUAAUGAGCACAUUUAAUUUUGAGUGGUUUAGUCAACCUUGUAACCCCUAUGGUGUUCCCUGUAAAAAGCAAACCCUGGGAAAUAAAUGGGAAACACUAGAUCUGUCGAUUCAUCAGAUUGAAAAAACCUUUCUCACACACACACACAGUUAAAAACAUUUCAAAAUAAACAUCAGGGUGUUUUUAUGGGAUUUCAUCUCUAUGCCACACUUAUGUGCCGAUCCCCGCACGUAAAGCACACCUUCCAGACUAAACAAUGUACCAGAUCUUCCCACUUUCUCACUAAAUAAAGCUUCAUCUGUGCUUUGGUCUCAUUUUACUCUGUGAACACUGAGUAGGCAGCUGAUGGGACCAUUUUCUGUCAUCGAGGCUUUGGUCGUAAUCUUUGAAUCAGAUGAAGAGGUGAUUGAACCAGAGACGGAGGAAAUUGAUCUGGAUUUCGAGUCGGACGGCUAUGGGACUAGUCAACACAUGUCGGGGAAGUGGCACCUGAGGUGACGUUCCAGUCAGGGUGGCUACUUGUUUUGGUAAUCAUCCUCUCAGGAGAGAGGAGCGAGAGUCGAAGACAUAACAAGCAUGAGCCAGGGCCAACACGGUUUGUUGCUUGCAGUUUUAGGAACACAACAUUACAACCUUUCCCCCUCCUUCCAGGCUGGAUGAGGUUAAAAGUGCUCACCUGCUGGUGAAAUUUCUUUUGUUUCCCGGCCAUUCGGCCCUGCUAUUUUUUUUUUUUCAUUAUUUGGUACGCCAUAUUACGAGGCCCCUAAACGCUAUCUUUUGUUGAGGUUGAUGGCAAAAUACGUCGAUCAUUCGUGAUUAUUGAGAGGGAUUUUGUUUAGUCUAUGCGUUGAUUUUACUAUAAUAAAAAUCCUAUUCUGCCUUUAGAAAGAUCAUCAUGGGAAAAAUGAACACUAUACAUUUUAGCUAUUUUUCUGCUACAAUUAUAGUUAUAGCUUCACAAGAGUGAAAAUUACAUCACAGUUCAAAAAGAGGCACUUGAAAAAAACUAUGCUUUGGUCUCUGAGUGCGAUGAAGUACCAUGUUUAUAUUGCAACAUAUCUCAGCUUCUAGCCUGUAUUAUGAAGAAACCAUUUAAAUGCUUCACUGGGGAGUAAAAGGAGCUGCACUCGUUAACUACAGUAAAUGCACAGCUCUACUUCUGCCAAGUAUUUUUAUAGGGUUAUUCACACUUUGUUCUCCACUCUGGUACAACAAACAAAUUACCUAAAGAUCAUCAAAUAUGAAAGAAGAAAAGAUAAGACAAACAAAUUAACACAAAAAAGAGAUGAAAAGACAGGGCACUAGAAGGUUUUUACUUUGAUACAUGUGUUUGUAAAUCAAAAACAAAAAAGGCACUCGGCACUGCAAUUACAGCAAUUUGCUGCAGGGGGAAACAGCUGUUUUCUUCCUUUCAUUGAGGAAGAUGUUUCCCCUUUAAUGUUUUGCUUAAUGUCACCUUGUUUUUUUUUUUUGGUAACAUAUUUAUACAGAGUUGUUUUACCACUGGUUGAUUGAAAGAACAUGCGAUUGUAGGCAGAUGAGGUCCGAACAUCAGUAAUCUCAUUAUGAAAUCUGGCUUUCUCUCCACGAAACUGGUGGUGAGAUGACUGGAGAGGGCACAACAAGAUGGAUUCUGAAGACAUUUAAAUUUGUGGAAAAAAAAUUGGUUAAAAAAAACAAAAAUUACCAAAAACUUCGCGACCCCCCCUGCAGUACCACGGCGGACCCCCUGGGGGUACUUCACAAAUACAGACAGACUGUUUAUAUAUCAAUUGAAGUCAGGCAGUUAUUGAGCUGAAUGGGUGCUACAUGCACAUUUAAAGAGUAGUACCCUAGCAAAAGACACAAAUGAGUAUGGAAGAGUAUGUACUCCAUAGACGUGCGUUGACUUGCAGUAAUUACAUGAAAUGGAAAUAUUUCAUCUACAGGAUAUACAGUAUGUGAAAGUAAUACAAUAUCACAUUUUCCGUUGUCCUUUUCAUAAAGACAAGUGAAAAGGACAACUCUGGACCUGACUAAUUUAUCAGCAGCGAACAAUGAUUGUCUUGAUUUGAAGCAACCUCGACACAGACGGGCAUCAAUAUUUAAUCAGUCGUGUAACAGUUGGAUUUGAUUAAAUGCGGGAGGCGCUACUCAGUGCCAAGGGCAGCAGAGACCUUCUUUUUGGAAAAACCAUUAACCCAAAACAAUGUUAACUCAUUGUGCGCUCCGAUGAGUGUUUUUAGUGGCCGAAAGCACGUUCCACCUGAUUAAGGAUGGCACACAGCAACCAUGUUUAGAGGGAUAACAUUGUGGAGUGUUGAACCCUUCAUUUUUGUUUCUUUGUAAACCAGAAGACCUGAGGGCGUAGAGGUGUGUUUGAGGAGCGAAAAAGAAAGAAAAAAAAACAUGUAAAGAAAUGGACACCAGAAUUAUGCAAAUGCCUGUGGUAUUUUUUUAAAGGGGUUGAAGGUUAACAACAGUUAAAAUGACCAUGGGCAUGGGAAGUGAGCGAUGUCUAAGUGAAGUGUUGUCGCAGCACUAGCAUUUUGAGUAAUGAUGGUACACAGAUGGGCAACAACAGUUAGUUAGCAGGAGCCAAUUAAAUGUAGCCAAUCAACCAUCUGCGAAUUAACAGGCUGUCGGGUUUCGAGCAGCCUCUUUUCAAUGUAUGCCAAUCAACAUGGAGUACGGCAGAGCGCUCGAGGAGAGGGCAGGGGCACACAAAAGGGCUCCACAGUUGCCCGUGCUUUAACAGCGCCACUUAAUUGUAUGUGUGCAAUCUUGGGGCACAGCGGACAUGAUGCCGCUCCUGCAUGUUAAAGCAUCCUCAAUAUACAGUAGACAAAGCAAUUGUAUGGACACGAGAAGCACAUUAGUCUUUAGAGUUCAAUUUGUAUGCUGCACUGGUUUUCUAAUUUUCUUGCAUCGCGGUGACUGACAUCUGUCGGUUCUAGCUGGCUACUGUUCCAUGAUGGCUCCUUAGAUUCCAGAGAGAAACGGCGAGAGCUGGAAGAAAUAGCGCUAACGGAGGUUCCACUCAGUCUGUCCCACUGAGCAGCACGGUUUGAGAGAAGUUAUACGCUACAAACACAAGUAAUAAGUAUUACAACAGAAACAAAACAGUAACUUUACCAUUAAAAUACAACAAAUAAUUUAUUGCAGAAUAUAUAUGCCUUUAAUGUUAUGCAACGUUUUAAUUGAUCUCAAACUGACAGUUUUACAGGAACCUGUGCAGCACUGAGUAACAAAGUCACACAGCUCCUCAUAUAUCAUUUGUGGUUCAUCCCCACUUUUCACAAAGAUUCUGGCAUUCACCAAUGUUUUCUCAUUUGGGAUUUGUUCUUCAGUAAGAACACUCUUCCACACAAUUGAGAGCUGACAUGUUUGUGCAAAAUGAGUAGUAGCAAAAGUAGGCGUAUUCCGCACACUAGGACUACACCACACAAUGGCGUAUUGACUGCUCCUGCAAAAGUAUUUUUGUUAGUGUGCACACGCCCUCCCAUCUCAUGACCUUUUAUGGGAAUUAAAUGGGCGUUAACCUUUGCUAAAUAGGGGCAAUGGGGCACGAGCUUUCAAUUUACGACAUACUGGCAUUCAUCAUUCUAAGACCGCACCUGUGAACAAUUCAGCUGUGUAGGGACACGUCAUGAAUCACGCGUAGACAUCUUAGGAACUUUCUUAAGAACAAAUGUAAGAAAUAACUUAGGACGAUAUUAUUGAAUGAGCCCCAAUGUUAUUUAGCCUGCGUCAGUCCGCUUUGCCUCUUAUCCUCUUGUUGAACACGAACAUAAUGCAUCAUCGGCGCAUUACCGACCACAGUGUAACAUCUAUCCAUAGACUUGUUACAUAUUUUCAUACAUGUGCUUUGCUGUUAAAUUAUUUUAACAAACUGCCUUUUAUAAGAGCAGUGUUGUAUCAUCACUUGUGUCUGGAUCACGAGGUGAUGGUGGUUCACUGUCACUGUUUUCAUCUGGUUACAAAGCUGAAUAGGUUCAACAUUCUUCAAAAUGUCUUCAUUACACAAAUUGUAGAACCUCCCUGUGUACUUUUUUUCUGUAGUUUCAGGGAUUUCAGUUAAUAACUGUUUGGGCUCCAAUGUAGAUUUCACAGCUUAAACUUAUAGCAGCGGCGUUCUGUGUUUGGGAUGCCAUGUGACCGUGGAAAUAGGCAUGAUGUCACCACUAUGUUGAAAGAGUCAAUCUUCAUGUUUUAAUUGUGAAGCUGUUUUGAAAGUCCCCCAAAGUGGGAAUGCAGUAAUAUAUUUGUCAGCUUUUGCAUUGUGGGGAAGCUGGAGGAACACGAUGACAUUCGGUAUUCACAUCUCACAGGUUUGAACACUAUUAAAAGGUUUAUCAUGUUCUCAACAGUCUGCAUGAAGUAAGAAACGUUAUCAGCAUUUAACUUCAACUCUGUGUUCUCCUUGCAAUAAACUGACCUGUUUAAGUCUGGUUAAAGCAUACUUCUUGAUUUAUUUAAUCUGUCCUGUUAAGAUUGGAGAAUAAACACAAACACUUAUUUAAAAUGAGUUAAAGUGACUGUGAUACUUUAUAGACAAUAAUAUGUUGUGCUCUUUUCUACCUGCUGCUCUUUUUUCAAUGCAUUGACAUUUUUGUUACCAAAGGUAAUAACGUUUGCUUUGGGCGCCUUAUGAAGCAAGAAAGUACCAGUUAGUGACUGUUGAGUGUGUGCUUUAAAAUGUCAUUGAAGAUGUUAUCCAAAGGCUCAGCGAUACUGCGGUGUUGAUAGAGCAUGGAAAAAGAAAAACAUCUCAGUCAUUUUACAGCUGAGAACUUGAAACCUACAGCGCAAGCAGCUUUGGUCUGACUUGUCGUAAAAUGCAGCUUCAACCGUGGACCCAGCAUUUCUUUUCUCUGUGCAUAUAAAGACCCAAUUAGAAACCGUAUAAAACAGCUUGCUUCAUGAGAAAAUGAGCUUGGAGUUUCUUGUUAGUUUCUUCUUUUUAUCCAGUACUGACAGCCUCAAAACCUAAUUUCAACUAAAAGUGAUCACGUGCCAAAACUAUCAAAGCACAUAGUUAAAGGCAUCCUCUGCCACUUUAAUCAAUACGUAUUAAAUUUGGAUCACAAUAUAUAAGUAUUUAAUAGCUGCACACAUUUGUUUCAGGAAUUGUUUAGAUUUUCUUGCCAUAAUUUCAAGAUACCAUGUUACAUAUACCAGGGUCUAAACUUCAUCAAAAAUCCCUUCCACAUUGUAUGUUUCUCUUACUUCAUCUAAAAUAUUCACUGCAUUUCAGCAGGGACUUGAGUGUCAUUUGUCACAGAAACUGCAACUCUGACGGCGCUGACUGGUUUCCCGUGGAGAACCGGCUAGUGACACCGGGGAAGUGAGAAGAAGGGAGCAAAAUGAUGAGAGAGGGAGAGAAAACUGUUCCCAUAGCAACGGAAUAAGAGAAAAAUUGACGCGGUGGGAUGCAUGCGCUGUCCUGCUCCAGAGUGUUUGUGCCUGUGUAGACUUUCACACUCACUUAAGUAUGUUACCCUCUCCUUUAUAGUCCUUUCAUCUCGGUCUUGAUGUAAAAGCAGCAUGUUGCUGCUUCCACAAACAUUAGAUCCACUAAUUGGACGCACUCCAACAGCGCAUAACGAGUCGAUAUGAAGAAAACAACGAACCUCUCAUCAGUCAGAAGGAGGAAACUGCCACAAGCAUCCCACACAUUCUUCGUCGUUACCUUACUGGAGUCAGCCUGGGUUGCUUUGGAAUGAAAUGGGUCCGUUAGUAAGCAAGAAUCGCUAAUUAGCAUUAGUUUUGGUCAUCUCCCGCGGUAGACCGCACAUGCGUGACGUCAUUUUUUUUUUUGAUGGCAUGCGAUUGACUGGUACUGCUUUUGAGAUCGACUGAUCCCUGCUGUGGAUCAUCUUCAGCAGCUGGGUUAUGAUUGACCAGCCCCAUACUGGGGCCUAGGCAACUGAUUUGAAGUGAUCUAAGAUGAAGAAAUUCAACCUGUCAAAGACGAUGACGGCGCACUUCUACACAGCCUUCAUUGAGUCCAUCCUCUGCUCCUCCAUCACCGUCUGGUAUGCUGCAGCCACAGCCAAGGACAAGGGCAGGCUGCAACGUGUCAUCCGCUCUGCAGAGAGGGUGAUCGGCUGAAAUCUGCCGUCCCUGCAGGACUUGUUCGCUUCCAUGUCUCUGAAGCGAGCUAAAAAGAUCGUAGCUGACCCCUCUCACCCCGGACAAAACCACUUUGUGCCCCUUCCAUCUGGCAGGAGGCUUAGGUCCAUCAGGACUAAGACCUCCCGCCACACGAACAGCUUCUUCCCGUCGGCAGUCGGGGUCAUCAACAGAGCCCGGUCCCCCACUGACUGACUC
Gasterosteus aculeatus aculeatus (three-spined stickleback) is the source of this 30426-nucleotide long non-coding RNA. The record is from Ensembl. Lineage: Eukaryota; Metazoa; Chordata; Actinopteri; Perciformes; Gasterosteidae.